GAGCCGCUCGCGCUGGCGUGCGGCGCGCUGCUGGCGCGGCUGGACCGCACGCUCGCCGCCGCGCACGCGCCGCCGCACGAUGAUCUGGAUAACGAGGAACCGGAAUACAGAAAAAUUGAUGAAUUACUACUAGAAUACCUUUCGAAUACGUAUGACGCCUAUACGCAGUACACGGAACGCGUCGGCACAUUAGUGGGUCUGGUGGAGAGCGUGCGACGAGUGGACGCCGCCGCCCGGCAGGAGUGCGCGGCGUUCGAGGCGCAGUCGCCGCUGCCGCUCGCCUGCCUGCUGCUGCGGCCGCCGCACCGCGCGCUGCGUCUGUACACCGUC
This is a long non-coding RNA of Ostrinia nubilalis (European corn borer), 330 nucleotides long. RefSeq lists it as uncharacterized. The transcript has 3 exons. The record is from RefSeq and is a predicted model, not a curated record. Lineage: Eukaryota; Metazoa; Arthropoda; Insecta; Lepidoptera; Crambidae.